Molecule: ribosomal RNA, 495 nt
Filed under: uncultured bacterium
Lineage: Bacteria
Description: partial 16S ribosomal RNA
Rfam family: Bacterial small subunit ribosomal RNA
Source: RNAcentral
GACGAACGCUGGCGGCGUGCCUAAUACAUGCAAGUAGAACGCUGAAGGAGGAGCUUGCUUCUCUGGAUGAGUUGCGAACGGGUGAGUAACGCGUAGGUAACCUGCCUGGUAGCGGGGGAUAACUAUUGGAAACGAUAGCUAAUACCGCAUAAGAGUAGAUGUUGCAUGACAUUUGCUAAAAAGGUGCAAUUGCAUCACUACCAGAUGGACCUGCGUUGUAUUAGCUAGUUGGUGGGGUAACGGCUUACCAAGGCGACGACACAUAGCCGACCUGAGAGGGGGAUCGGCCACACUGGAACUGAGACACGGCCCAGACUCCUACGGGAGGCGGCAGGAGGGAAUCUUCGGCAAUGGACGGAAGUCUGACCGAGCAACGCCGCGUGAGUGAAGAAGGGUUUCGGAUCGUAAGGCUCGGUUGUAAGAGAAGAACGAGUGUGAGAGUGGAAAGUUCACACUGUGACGGUAGCUUACCAGAAAGGGACGGCUAACUACGUG